This is a long non-coding RNA of Carassius auratus (goldfish), 3925 nucleotides long. RefSeq lists it as uncharacterized. The transcript has 3 exons. NCBI's taxonomy places the organism in Eukaryota, Metazoa, Chordata, Actinopteri, Cypriniformes, Cyprinidae. The record is from RefSeq and is a predicted model, not a curated record.
UUCACUUUCAGGUUGCAAGCAGGAACAACAACAACACACAUGUCAUGAUCUAACUCUCUGUCAGUCUAUAUCACAGGUAAGUAUAAUAAUACUGACACCUAGUGGUUAGUUUCUAUAUAUACAACUAUACUAUCACUACAUCCCCUUUCCAUUAGACAUAAAGAACAAGUUAUUACAACUAAUGACUUCUAGAUUAUCUAACCACUAAGUAAGCACUGUACACAUUAAACAGGAUGUAUAGUAUCAAAUAACAAUCUCCAGAAUUAUUUGCUUUACAAAUCACAGUAACAAUAAUCAGCUGAUUACAUUUUAUUUUAUCUUUUAAUUCAUGAAAUGCUAAUGCUUCUGAUCUGUUUAAGCAAUAUUCAGAGGUUCAGUCUAUCAGGAGGCUUUAUGUGUGAUUGGAUCUUCUCAGCACAGGUGAAUGCAUUUCUUUAUCUUUGCUCAUUGUGAUGCAGUACUGGAAGUGUUUCAGAUGUCGUCACCUGUAUGUGUAUUCUCUACUGUCUCUUUUGUUUUUAACAGACUUCUCCGGUUUCUCCUCAGGAUCUGACCAUCUUCUGUCCUUGGCUUCACCUCCUCCAGGACUGUGGCUCUUUUACUCCAGGUAUUGAAAUCCUCAAGUCUUACCGUGUCAUUAUUGGAGAGUGGUUCUAGGCUUUUUGAUGCCUUGUCAUAGUUUGCUUUUUGUCUCAGUUUCAGGUGCUUUUGUUUUCUUUUCAGGUACGUUCUCUUGUUUUGUGUUGGUUUGUAAUCUGCGCCCCAUCAGUAUUUCAGCAGGAGACACACCGUGUUGUAGUGGAGAAGCACGGUAAUUCAGCAGAGAUAAAUAAGGAUCUGAUUGACUGUCCACUGCUUUCUUGAGUAGUAGUUUCACAAUGUGAACUCCUUUCUCUGCCUUUCCGUUUGACUGCGGAUAUAUUGGGCUGGAUGUCACGCGUUGACCUAGCAUGGCCCAUUAUCACUGCUAACCACCUGCGGAUGCCGUGUCUCGAAAGAUGGAUUUCAUGUGUGUUAUCACACAAGCAGAAGGAUAGCAACGCAAUCUCUGGGUUAUUUGACAGAUAGUCUAUCACCAGCAAAUAGUUUCUCUUCCGUUCAGAAAGAAUAAGUCAGUCCCAACUUUCUGCCAUGGUUCAUCCGGUGGAUCAGUGAUGAUCAUUGGCUCCUUUUGUUGUUAGCAUGAUGCUUCAAGCACGUAUCACAGGUUGACACCAUCUUGUCGAUGUCUGCAUUUAUUCCGGGCCAGUAGAUUGCAGUUCUAACCCUUUUUUUACAUUUCUCGGCUCCAGGGUGUUUUUUUUAACAUCUCCUGUCGCAGUGACCGAGGGAUAAUGAUCCUGUCUUUUCUCAGCAGAAAUCCCUUAACGACACUCAACUCUGUUCUGAUGUUGUAGUACUGAGCACAUUUUCCUCUAGGCCAACCUUCAUACAGAUGUUUGAUGACCAAUUGCAGACAUGUAUCUUUUCCAGUCUCCACUGCAAUCUGUUUGAGUUUUGUGUGUGUGACUGGAAGAGCUUCAGCUACCAUGUUCACACGCUCACAUCAGCCUCUGUUCCACAGAUCUGGACAGAACUAGAUGCUUCCCUUGACUGUACAUUAGCUCCAUAUCAUACCUCUGCAGUCGCAUCAUCAGUCGCUGGAUUCUUGGAGACAUUUGGUUCAAGUUAUUUUUAAUGAUGGCAAUUAAUGGUUUGUGAUCUGUCUCUGCCACAAAUGUCGGUAAGCCGUACACAUAGCGGUGAAAUUUCUCCAAUCCAUACACUAAGCCCAGACACUCUUUUUCAAUCUGUGCAUAGUGACGUUCCGUCGGAGUCAUCGUUCUCGAGGCAUAUGCGACCGGCCUCCAAUUCUCUCCAUCCGCCUGCAGUAGAACUGCACCCAUUCCUUCUUUGGAUGCAUCCGUCGAGAUCUUUGUCUUCUUUGUCGGGUCAAAGAACGUCAGAACAGGCUCGGUGGUGAGGAGAGUCUUCAGUCGUCCUCAUUCUUGUUCAUGAUCAGCUGUCCAUCUGAACUCGCCUUUAUCGACAACAGUUCUCUCAAAUAAACAGUUUUUGAAGACAGAUUUGGUAUGAACUUCCCGACGAAAUUGAUCAUCCCCAUCACUCUCAAUACAGCUUUUCUGUCUGUGGGUCUGGGCAUUUUGAGUAUUGCUUGUAUUUUACUCUUAUUUUAACUACUGGCUGUGCAUCUUUUUUCAACUGUAUUUUGUAGGUGAAUGGUAAUACUCCAAACCCUUCAAAGAUGUCUGGAAACUGUUUCACGAUUUGUUUCCCACUGUUCUGUGUUUCUCCAUUAUUUAUGAUGCAUAUUCUUCUUACCAGACCCAGAUCUUCACAUGCCUUAUCUCCCAACACAGAAUCAUGGCCAUCUGGAACAACCACAAACAUGAGGUAAUGUUCUCUGUUUUUAACCUUUACUCUGAGAGUACAUGCUCCUUUUGUUGGAAUGUUCUGCCCGUUAUAGGCUUUGAGUUGCACAGUUUUCUGACUUAUGCACAGUUUUCUGACUGAUUUUCAUUGCUCUGACAUCAUACUCUGAAAUCAGAUUGACUUUUGCUCCUGUUUUGCACACGCUCUCUUUGACUUUGUCCACCUCUUGAAAAGCAUUGUUUUGCAAAAUGAUUCUGCCCUUUGCAUUUAGCACAGACUUUGCCAUAAGCUGGGCACUGCUUUGGCAGGUGUCUUUUGCCACAUCUCUUACAGUUAAACAGUUCUUUCUGCUGUUUCAGUUUACUCAUUCCCCUUUUCUGCAUCUUCUCUGUUACUGCAGCUAUGGCUGAACUGUCACUCCCGCUCAUCUUUGUGUUCACUAAGGGUUUUAUGCUGAAUAGCUAUCUCACUGGCAUGACAUAUCCGCACUGCUUCAUUUAAGGUUAGCUCUGUCUCUCUCAAAAGCCUCUCUCUCACUUUUGUAUCAUUGAUGCCGAACACAAUUUGGUCAGGGACCAUUGAAUCUUGCAACAGUCCGAAAUUGCAUGUUUUAGCUUUCAACUUUAAAUCAAUUAAGAAACUGUCAAACGUUUCUCAUUGUUGUUGUAGACGAGAGCGAAAAACAUACCUCUCAAAAGUCUCAUUUUUCUUGGUGUGCAGUGCACAUCAAACUUUUCCAUCACCACGUCAUAUUUGCCUUUUUCCUCGGCCUGUGCAAACACGAGUGUGUUAAACACUUCUAUUGACUGAGGUCCCGCGACGGUGAGAAGCAAUGCAAUCUUGCGUGCAUCCGAUGCUUCAUCCGAGCCCACUGCUUGCAAGUACACUUUCCAUGACGAGCGUCCACUCCUGGUACCAUGUAAUGUUUCUUAUUUCAAUGAAGAAACUGUUUGUAAUUAAACUUCUCUUUUAAUUCACUUUCAGGUUGCAAGCAGGAACAGCAACAACACACAUGUCAUGAUCUAACUCUCUGUCAGUCUAUAUCACAGAGGAAACAUCCAAGAACUUUAUCGAUGCAAGACACAACAUCGAGUCGGAUGUGAUGGAAGAUGCAUCAGGGCCUAGCGUGUCACAGAAACACGUGAACCAACUGGUGUUCAACUGUGCUUUUUAUUUUUGGAGCAGCCAUUCUUCAAAAAAUUGUUUGAGGCGAUCAGUGGCGGGAAGAAAGUAAUGUGCUGAAAAACUCUGAUCUGUCAUCUCCAAGAUUAUUAAUGUGGACACUGUCUGCAUGACAGCAGACAUUUGGUCAGCACAAAACCACAGUUUCUUCGGGGUCACAUGCCAUUGGAUGGACAGAGACACACUGGAGAGACGUUCUGCAUCAUUGGCAUGUACACGUCUCAAAGGUCGACACACCUAUGAUGCAGUUGCAGCAAGACUAAAUGAAAUCCAAGCUGAAUACAGGAUUCAAGAUGAAGCCAAAUCCACUGUGGCAGACAAUGGAAGUAAUUUUGAGUCGGAUGAUUGGGGUGGUGUUGGCGCAGUGGAU